UACAGAGGGUGCAAGCGUUGUCCGGAAUCACUGGGCGUAAAGGGCGCGUAGGCGGGGAGGUAAGUCGGGUGUGAAAUCCCUCGGCCCAACUGAGGAACUGCGCCCGAGACUGCUUCUCUUGAGUCCCGGAGAGGAAGAUGGAAUUCCCGGUGUAGCGGUGAAAUGUGUAGAGAUCGGGAGGAACACCGGUGGCGAAGGCGGUCUUCUGGACGGUGACUGACGCUGAGGCGCGAAAGCGUGGGGAGCAAACGGG
RNAcentral lists this ribosomal RNA (253 nucleotides) under uncultured bacterium. RNAcentral describes it as "partial 16S ribosomal RNA". It matches the Rfam family "Bacterial small subunit ribosomal RNA", at positions 524 to 776 of the family's 1533-position model. The record is from RNAcentral.